This is a long non-coding RNA of Canis lupus familiaris (dog), 2269 nucleotides long. RefSeq lists it as uncharacterized. The record is from RefSeq and is a predicted model, not a curated record. Lineage: Eukaryota; Metazoa; Chordata; Mammalia; Carnivora; Canidae. The transcript is spliced from 6 exons.
GGCCCGGCUCCGGGGAGACCCAGGCCCCGCCGAGACCGGGUCACGUGACCGAAGUGUUGGCGGCUCGCCUGGGCUCUCUGGCCGUUUGGUCUUCCCGGCGUCUCGUUUUCUCAGCGUCUCUCACGCCCGCCUGACAGUAGCUCUUUGCUGGGAGCUGAGUUUAGUGGCGCGUGGGGGGACUUUCGGUAUGUGGUAGGCCCGGGGACCUCUCGGCCACAGCCAGUUGUGCCUCUCACCCCCUUCUCUACGAAUACAACUCUGCCUUUUCCCUCGCAUCCGGAAGGUACCUGGAAGAGUACAGGAGGUGUCCUCAAGGAAAGAUCGGAGGGGACUGAGCCUAGCGUGGAUUUUAGACCCCAGACAAAGGAAGGGCCGAGCCAGACAAAGGGAGUGCCUAAGAUAGGCUGCGUGCCUGCAGAAGCCUCUGCCACAUUUUGUUUUAUUUUCCAGUACAGUUUGAUACUUUUUACAAGGAUAUGAGAGAAACCCACAAGGACAUAAAAUUCUAAACGAGAUGAAUAAACGCUGAAACGAAAGGCCUAAUCUCUUUCCCUACCUGAAGCUGAGUGAGGUGAAACAGCCCAGGAAAUCUAGGCAAGGGCAGGGUCAUGAUGAAAGACAUCUCCGUAAUCCUUGCGCCAUCUGAGGACAAAGUAGGGCACCUCUUUUAAGAGUGGAGCAGCGGAGGAGGGAGGAGCUGAAGACCUCGGUUCCCCACUUCCUGGCCAGGCUGAUAAACAGGUGGACAACCUCCCACCACUUGGGAGUCUUAGUUUCCCCACUUGCCAAAUGGGUAUAAAAAUAGUUUGCUAGGUUAGAGAUCAUCAAGUUAAGCAUUACCAGGCCUAACUUAAAUUGUUCUUUAAAAACUUGGCUUUUACCGGCAGAGGCUCAAGGCCAUCCUUUCACUGUAUUCAGCCACACCCUAAGCCAAUAUUUACUGAAUUUAAUCAACGAGGCCUCUAAUCCCCAAGGACAUCCCAGCCCCGCCCUGAGGGGCUUUUUGGCUCCAGUUGUGACAGGUCAAUUUUUGCUCCAGCCUGGAAGAAGGGGACAGGUUUCUCAGCUACUUUCGCGUUAGCGGUCCGUCCCCCUCCGUUCAUUCAUGAAAAACAGACCGAACCCGGUUAGAGAGACACGUGCAGAAAGCCGCCGCCUGCGCAUGCGCAAUGGCCUCCCCUCACACACCCUGAGGCCCUAGAACUACAAAUCCCAUCUCACCGUGCGCCCGCGUCACCGCGCUCACAGACUCAGGCUGUGACUCAAAACCCGGGGGUCUGGAAACCCCCAGAGCGGUCCUUCGCAAGCCUCCGGGGAGAGGAGUCAGCCAGAAGAGAGUGACCCCUGCUGUCUUUGUGAUCCACGACUUUCCCCAGGUCAGGACUGGUGAAUGCAGUGAAGGGGGAUGCUGGGACUCCAUCAGCUCCUCCUGCCUCCUGACACUCCAGAAAAGAGGCUGAGCUGCUGCAGGGGCGACCUACUUCUCCCACUUGUGUUUCUUUUUAAAGAUCCAGCGGCUGCUGGUGCCUUUGAGGGAGGAGGUCCCAGGCGGCCACCAUGGUCCUGGUAAAGAAAUGGGAACCAGAACUCUGGGAUGGGCAGGGGUGCCGAGCAGCUCAGCAUUCCUGCAUGGGAAAGCCUGAGAGUUGCCCAAGAGGAAAGUCACAGCCAUUCCCAUUUUAUAGUUGAGGGAACGCCUCGGUUGGCAGCAAACAAUGGAACAAGAUCAUAUAUAUGGAUCCAAGUCACAGAGCAGCAUCCUUGCCCACCAAAGGACACGGUCUCCCCUAUACCUAACCUGGCCUCUUUAAGGGUGCCCCUCAAUGAAGAAUGAAAAAAAAAAAGUGACAAGUACUGAACUCCCACUCACAAAGAAUCACUCAGCCUCCACUUCUGGUUCUUACACCAAGCCAGGAACCCAGGUCCUGAUACUCUUCCUUCCUCCAACAUAAGUAUCGCUCCAGACCUCCCCCUGCUCCUCCACCUUCUCCUACUGACUGAGCACUUUCUGUGCCCAUGGGCUGCAACAGGCUUUAGACAUCAUUUCAUCUCUGCUCCUCAGCCAGGCAUCAAGGAACCUGUGCUGCUGGGAUUAUCCCCACUCACUUUUAACAAAUGAAGAAAAUGAGGAUUGGAGAGCUUAGAUCACUUGCCCCAAAUCACACUACUAGGUCUAAAACUUGACCACCAGUCUGUUACUCUCAAUUCAACACUUUUCUCCACACCACAGGGACUUGAUCUCUGAAUAAAUUGAUAUCUACGCUGUGAA